Molecule: ribosomal RNA, 500 nt
Filed under: uncultured bacterium
Lineage: Bacteria
Description: bacterial SSU rRNA
Rfam family: Bacterial small subunit ribosomal RNA
Source: RNAcentral
UAGUCCACGCCGUAAACGAUGGUCACUAGCUGUUUGGACUUCGGUCUGAGUGGCUAAGCGAAAGUGAUAAGUGACCCACCUGGGGAGUACGUUCGCAAGAAUGAAACUCAAAGGAAUUGACGGGGGCCCGCACAAGCGGUGGAGCAUGUGGUUUAAUUCGAUGAUACGCGAGGAACCUUACCAGGGCUUAAAUGUAAGUUGCAUUAGCUAGAGAUAGCUAUUUCUUCGGACCACUUACAAGGUGCUGCAUGGUUGUCGUCAGCUCGUGCCGUGAGGUGUCAGGUUAAGCCCUAUAACGAGCGCAACCCCUGUUGUUAGUUGCCAGCGAGUCAAGUCGGGAACUCUAACAAGACUGCCAGUGCAAACUGUGAGGAAGGUGGGGAUGACGUCAAAUCAUCAUGGCCUUUAUGCCUAGGGCGACACACGUGCUACAAUGGUAGGGACAGAGGGUAGCGAAUCAGUGAUGUGGAGCUAAUCUCAAAAACCCUAUCUCAGUUCGG